Molecule: ribosomal RNA, 240 nt
Filed under: uncultured bacterium
Lineage: Bacteria
Description: partial 16S ribosomal RNA
Rfam family: Bacterial small subunit ribosomal RNA
Source: RNAcentral
UGGCGAACGGGUGAGUAACGCGUGAGGAACCUGCCUCAAAGAGGGGGACAACAGUUGGAAACGACUGCUAAUACCGCAUAAGCCCACGGGUCGGCAUCGACCUGAGGGAAAAGGAGCAAUCCGCUUUGAGAUGGCCUCGCGUCCGAUUAGCUAGUUGGUGAGGUAACGGCCCACCAAGGCGACGAUCGGUGGCCGGACUGAGAGGUUGAACGGCCACAUUGGGACUGAGACACGGCCCAG